AAGCAGAAAAUGAUUGAAGUUAGAAAGACAUGCCUCUUUUAGGGAAAAGUUGGAUGUCUUAAUUUCUACUUUCACAUUUUGUUGGGUGUGAUCAAGCCCAGCAUCUCCAAAUCCUUUUCCUUCCAGAAGUCACUUGGAAGGCAGAAGGAAGAUAGUGGAUUAGAGUGUGUAUGUGAGCCAGCGGUGGGUUGAAUAGUGCCACAACUACACCAGAACCGCCGCAGGAAGUAGGGUGUUUAUGAUCCACUAUCGCUUGUUAUUUCUCAUCAGGCGUAAUAUGUUUAUUGAGGACGGAGCUUGUUACCAGUGCUGCUGACAUCCUAUUUCAAACCUCCCCACAACCCUGAUGAAUCACCAAGACUUUUCUCAAUUGUUGAUCCACCCAUCAGGCUGAACACAAAAGGGAAUCCUUGUUAUGACUCCAUGAUUUGAGGCGCCAUUAUAAAUCUGUGUUGUUGACUCCUAUGCAGAUGUGGAUGCUGUGUAUCCUUGUAGCUAAAACACCAGGAAUUUAAAGAACUUUGAAAUAUUUGUAAGCUUUUUUUUAGCUCUAUUUAGCUACAUUUCUAUCUAGCCAAGAUAUUUGGUACUUCUCUAAAUCCAUGGUGGCUUUUAGCAGACGCCAAGAAUAGGAAAAGGUCAAUCAUACAAAAUGCCAGUUAAGAAACUUGCUCAGGGCAGCUUGUAUUUAUUAGAAUAAUCAGGAUAUCGGUCGGACAUUAUCCAUUCUUCAGAGGACAACUAGCUUCCCCGUGUCAACAAGAACCCAGUUUGUACCGCGGUCGUUUCCCUGGGAUGCAGAGGGGCGCCGUCAGGGCGCCGUCAGUGGCACCCACUUCUACGUAGACUUACUGUAGAGAAUAGUGAUCAGGGCGAUGGGCAUCACCAGCAGUCCCACCAGCAGGUCCGCCACCGCCAGAGACAUCAGGAAGUAGUUGGUGGCGUUCUGCAGCUUCUUCUCUAGCGACACGGCGAGGAUGACCAGGAUGUUGCCACCGAUGGUGGGCACGAUGACCAUGAGGAUGAGCAGCGCGGCCCACUGGAGUCGGACCCCCGGGCCCUCGCCGGGCUCCGUGGCGUUCUGCUCCAGGGAAGCCGCCGCCGGCCGGGACAUGGUGCGGCUACGGCGGUGGGGACUGGCCUCGGCGCUGGUCGGGGCUCUGCUCUGGCUGGCCCCGGAGGCUCGGUCAGCAUGGUUCGUUCGGCCCCCACGUGCCGAGUCCCGCGGCAGGGUGGGACGGGUCACUGCCAGGCGUCGGGAGAAGAGCCGUCGGCCAGUGCCCAGUGUGGAAAAACCGGUACGGCCUCGCAACGAGGUUAAGAUCCGAGCGCUCCGAGCGAACCAAAUCCAAGGAUAAACGAUAGAUUCACCGCGGGUACGUCCAAAAAGCUUCUCAUUCCAGGGCUGUCGGUACUGCUCAUCCCCUCGCGACGCCUUCUACGAACUCUGUUAAAGAAACAAUAACUGCAGUGUUAUCCUAUUUUUGCGUUUUAUCUGAGCCUAAUUACCAGUGACACUUAUGGUAACAAAUGGGAAGGGUCGUUCCUGUACGCUCGUUAUUCCUUCCUGACCCACCAUGGCUCGGUCAUUACACAAGGAAGUGGCAAUCGGUUUUAACUUUAUCCCGCAUUACGGGUUAAGGGUUAUUAUGCAAACAUUAACUUUGAUUAACAUUUACUUUAAAAAACUGAAGUGCUUUCAGGCUUCAGGAUGUGUGACACCAUAACAAAAAAUGGCUGGAAAGAAUGAUGUGCGUUGAUUGAUAAAAAAUCCAAACGAAAGGAUGAAAGUCUUCUACAGGCAAUCAGGAAUUCCCAUCUCCUUGUUUAUCCAAGAAGGUAUUGGUGGAACAAUUAAUUUAUCAUCUUUGAAAUGUCAUGCUUUGUAAAAAGGAACAAUCCUUACCUGUUCUUUAAGAAUCUCAGUUUUAUUUCUGUUGUACGACACAAAAAACCUGUCAAGAAAUUUCGGUACCUCCCAAAUUAUUUUGACCUGGCUCACCAGGUAUUUUGGUCUCGCCUCGCUACCACCUUUUCAGUUCACAAUUUUACAUUCAAACGAUUCCCAAAGUGGUAUGACUUAAUUUUACGCUCUCCCCGGCAGCAGUCAGUGCUCUCCCACUCUGAGGCUUUCCAUGAGGGGGAAGUUCCUUUUUGUUCCACCGCGAUGGAAGAAUCCAAAGUCCUGAGUCUCAUCACCUACAACAUCCACAGCGUUUGACCAUUCCGACGUUUCCCAGUUUCUCUCUCUAUCGCCCUAGUCCCCUCUCGCUUUCUAUCUCUGCUUACCGCCUUUUAGUAGGAGUCUGAUCAGCUUGUGCGCUUCCAUCUCACUGGCUCAAACACCCUCCCUCUCUUCCUCUCUCUCUCUCUCUCUCUCUCUCUCUCUCUCUCUCUCUCUCUCUCUCUCUCUCUCUCUCUCUCUCUCUCUCUCUCUCUCUCUCUCUCUCUCUCUCUCUCUCUCUCUCUCUCUCUCUCUCUCUCUCUCUCUCUCUCUCUCUCUCUCUCUCUCUCUCUCUCUCUCUCUCUCUCUCUCUCUCUCUCUCUCUCUCUCUCUCUCUCUCUCUCUCUCUCUCUCUCCCUCCCCCCCCCCCCAUAGUGUUGUCCAUGUGUUAGGCUUAGCAGAAAACAGAUGAAUGUCUUUGUGCUGGCCCAAUGCCAGCGGUUCUGGGAGGUAAUUUCCUUCAACACAGCCGCCCUUCUGUUUAUAUUUGUCACUUUCUGUACUCUCGUCCACUGGAGUAAAUUGCGCGUGUGCUUAGUUUCUCGUGUGUGCGACGGUGGGGACUAGGAUUCAUGGGGUGCAAACUCAGCAAUUUAUAUAUGUUUACAUGUCAUCUUAUAUCGCCUACCUAGAUCCUAAAGCUGUGCAAGGCAUUGCUGUGUAUUUGAUCAUUGGUACUACUGCGGUGGUGUUUGAAACAUGAGCCUGCUUUCACAGUCCAGGCCUCUACAGCAGUCAUAAUUGUUGUGUUCUUUCCACUGUGCGACUGCAAUGCCGCUUCUAAAGUUGACACAUGUCAAAGCAGAGUAGCAUAUUUUCUGUAGUCUACUUUAUUUGUACAUUUAUUUUCCUAACGGCAAAGCAAACCAACUCUACUCAAAUAUUGUAGCCUUUCCCUGUCUUGGACAAGUGUGGCACACAAACUUGGUAUUACCAGGACACGUCUGUCUUGAACUCAAUUCCAGGUGAAACUACCCACAUAAAGGAAAGUGACGUUUUUUCCACUUCCUUUUCCCCCCUGGCCGUGAAUUGGUCUUGCCUUUCAAACGACUUGCCUGCCUACUGAGGGAUGGUAUGGCUCUAAUGUGAGUCUGCUGCUGUUGGGCACUACGGCGAUUGAGCUGAGUUGAAUAGAUUUUUGCAAUUUUAAAUGCAGGGCCAUGCAUGUUUUCCUUCUUUCCACUUUACAGAUAUGGACACUUUUUGACAGUUUUUCUUUGCAGUAAAAGUUUGCACUUUCUUUUUGUUUUCUAGGCUAAGCAAUUUACCAUUGAAUGACAUUUAUUCUGAAUUUACAUUUAUUUGAAAUUUAUCACAAUUCCAUAGUGGCCCUUCUGGGUUGUUUUUCUUGGGACUUUUUGAAUUUCUAGUCCCAGCUGUGUCUAGGGAGAAAAGUUUGAGAACUCGAGUUUUAAUUUCUGAGAUGCAAGGAAUUGCAGAAGGAGCACUGAGCUGACACAUGUUCUGACUUUGAACCUCUUAAAUUAACCAUUUGAUUUGAUAUUGGACAUUGAUAAGAUGGACAUUGCUGACUGUGAAUGGAUAGUUGGCCAUUUGUACAUAUCUUUUUUACACUUAGUGACAGCUCUCUUGCUUGUAACAUUAGCCAUUUCAGGGGUUGGACUGUUGAUAAUGUCAUUCUGUCUCUGGUUCUUGUUGGUAGAUUUAAUUUCAUUUUAAUGGCGUGAUAACAAAUGAUGCCCGGCAAUCUCUUUGCUCGUGUCCUGCUCCUCUUCAUUGUCCAUUAAGGCGUCUAUGUAAUGAACAGGAAACAGGAUAAUUAAAUCUGAUCUUCGGGUGCCAAAAUGUAUAAUUUGUUUAGAUUUGUCCACUUCCUGUUAUGUGUUCAUUGGCUAGCAGGUCAGUGACCUGUCUAAUUUAUUAAUAGCAAUGGAUAUCAAUCUCUGGGAGCAGCUAGUGCAUUAUGAUUGUUUCUUGGCUCCCUUACUAGUUUAUUUAAAUAACUUUGGUUUAGGAAUUAUGUAUUGAAUUUCAUGAUGCAAGCUUUUUACUGCUGCCUUCACCUUUUUUGAAAAAUAAGUAUUUAGGUUUUAUAGUGCAUCCACUGAUUCGGAUCGCUAGGUGGUCUAAAAGGUAAUGGCCCUUCACUUAACUUUAUUUAUUUUACUUUAUUUAAGUAACCUAACUUGAGUUCCUAACCUAACUUGGCUCCCCUCCAAGAUUUUUUUGGUGUUUUCUCCCAAGAAAUGUCUUUUUAUAGGUCCCUAGGUCGACGCUUUGUUGUUCUCAUCAGUGCUCUUAAAUAAUUAGAAACUGAGAACCGUAGAACCAAACUGAUGGCUGCCACAUGGUGCAAGGCCAAACUGUCCUGCUCUACAUGCGUAUGCCUGUUCUGUGGACAUUGAUAUCUUUCCCAGGAUGGGCGUGUGGGCUUUACCUGACUAGAAUAGCACCUUGUUACCUUCCUGAUGUAAUUGGGAGAUUAUCUAUAUAUCCCUGAUUGAUUGCCAUUUGUGAAAUUAAGUCCCCUUCCAGUAGAGGGGCUUAGUCUAAACAAGGCAGUAGUAGUGAUGCCUGGCAACAUGACCACGCACCAACUCAAAACACUGAAUCACACACCUCAGGUGGAUUAGUUAGUUAAUUACUUUCAACCUUCCGGACUUUAUUGAGACUAAAUUGGCAUUAGGACAAUCCCCAUGAGCUAGUAUCCGUUUAAGUCCGGUCAAUGAAUGCCAAUGAAGGUGUUUGAACUACCUUCAUUGUCCUGCUUCUGUUUAUGUUGUGGCAGUUUAGGAAACAUCAUUGGAUAUUAAAUGGAGGCAGAUUAAUGGUGAUUUAAUUUGAUGCUAUUUAUUGAGAUGCAAUUUGUACAUGGUUGUUGGAUAUCGCAUUGUACCACAUUUUUAUUAUAUUAGUCUUUUAUUUGAAUUUGAGACAGGGAAAUGUUAUUCAGUCAACAACUUGUAGUUUGCAUGUGGUUGAUUAUUUCACAAAUAAGUAAGCCUUUACUGUGUUGAGAUGUGGGACUAGCUUAGCCAGUGAAUUUAUCAGCCGUGUGUGGUCUUUCCUCCAUAUCAAUGGGCUUGUAUUUUCAGAGGGGGACCUUUAGCCCUCUGCAGCAGAGCAUCCCCCUUCUCGUAGAGGAGGUACUACUUUGACGUUUUUGUGAGCUUUGAACAGAUCUGUGGAGAGAGAUUUGUAACAUUGAAUCUGCAAGUUGAAAACCUUCUUAUUGUGCAAUUGGUUUAUCACCUUCCAGGUCCUGUUGGACUACUUCAGAUAACAUUUCAAUGCAAUGACAAUAAAGCUUGUAUUCGAUAAUUGACGUUAACCCUAUCCCAGAAAUCUGAAAGCUUGAAGAGCAAUAACCGGGAAAAUGAGUAAUGAUGAAUAAUCUCCCCAAAUUGCCCAUCUGUUUGGCUGUGGCUUGGUUGUUUUUGGUUCUGAACUGCACAGAAAAUGAAUCAUUAACGGUGCAUAAAGCACUGAACUUCUUAUUAUGCCUAACUUGAUUUUACAGUAAUGACAUUUGCUGGAGGCCCAUUUAUUGUAAAUUGACGUCAAGUUUGUUGAUUAAAGAACCUAGUACUUUUGCAUUGAAACCUGACGUUGAUACAGUUGAGGAAUCGGUGCAUUGGAAAGAAAAUAUGCCUAUAUGAAAAACGGAGCUUUUUUAACCGUGAAGAAUCAAGCCUGAAUCAUCAAUUUGGAUUCAGCCUCACUUGGAGCAUGACCCAUGUAGCCAUGUUCAUACCAUCAGAAAAAAAAGCUUUCCGUCAAGAAUAUAUCUUGAUAAGACACUCGCACUUUCCGUCAAUAGGCAAUGAAAUAAGGAUUUAUUCAAGUGGUGAAAAAAAGGAUUAAUGGAAUUGUAUUAUAUGCCAUGCAAUUAAUUGGAUGACUUGUAAUAGCAUAUAAUUCUAUCCUAUUAAAGUGCAAGCCAAAUAUUUCACAAUUAUUUUUUUCAUUUUUGUCUUCACCUAUUUCAUGAAGGUGUCGGCAUGGAAGAAAACCAAGUAAAAGCUGUUGAUCAACUCCUACUCUAGCUUAUCACUACAUCUCUAUAGUGUCUCUCCUUCAUUCCUACUAUUGCUCUCAUUGUUUCGUCAUCUUUACUUUCAAAAUGUCCUUUGAUUUUCAAAUCUGCAAGUCGGAUGUUAACAGAUUUACCAUAUAACGUUGCUUACUUCUUACUGUAAAGAUUCUACAUGCAGUUCAAAAGCAACAGCGAAGACGUGUCCCCAUCAUAUUCUGAUGUCCUCUGCCUUUGUCUGAUGGCUCACACAGCUCCAUCAGGUCAUUAGAUAUGACGUAGCGUUGGUGGAUGUUAUUGAUGUGUCUGCACUGUCAUUUCAUUAACCGGCUGCUGAUCUGUCUGUCGGUGCUGUCGCAGACAGUAAUCACGUUUGUCCACAUUACCAAUUAAGACCACAUACCAUUUAUAAAAAAAAAAAUAAAAAAAAGA
This is a long non-coding RNA of Gadus macrocephalus (Pacific cod), 6650 nucleotides long. RefSeq lists it as uncharacterized. NCBI's taxonomy places the organism in Eukaryota, Metazoa, Chordata, Actinopteri, Gadiformes, Gadidae. The record is from RefSeq and is a predicted model, not a curated record. The transcript has 2 exons.